RNA transcript from Odobenus rosmarus divergens (Pacific walrus), 1390 nucleotides. It is a transcript of the gene named plasminogen activator inhibitor 1 RNA-binding protein-like, with no coding region annotated. The record is from RefSeq and is a predicted model, not a curated record. The transcript has a single exon. Lineage: Eukaryota; Metazoa; Chordata; Mammalia; Carnivora; Odobenidae.
GGAAGAGCUGAAGCAGGCGCUCUUGGCUUGGCGCGGCCCGCUGCAAUCCAUGGAGGAACGCGCCGGCGAGCCACCAUCAUGCCUGGGCACUUACAGGAAGGCUUCGGCUGCGUGGUCACCAACCGAUUCGACCAGUUAUUUGACGACGAAUCGGACCCCUUUGAGGUGUUGAAGGCAGCAGAGAACAAGAAAAAAGAAGCCGGCAGGGGCGGCCUUGGGGGCUCUGGAGCCAAGAACGCAGCUCAGGCCGCAGCCCAGACCAACUCCACCGCGGCAGGCAAACAGCUGCGUAAAGAGUCCCAGAAAGACCGCAAGAACCCGCUGCCCCCCAGCGUUGACGUGGCUGACAAGAAAGAGGAGACGCAGCCGCCCGUGGCGCUUAAGAAAGAAGGAAUAAGACGUGUUGGAAGAAGACCUGAUCAACAGCUGCAGGGUGAAGGGAAAAUAAUUGACAGGAGACCAGAAAGGCGACCACCUCGUUAACGACGAUUUGAAAAGCCACUUGAAGAAAAGGGUGAAGGAGGAGAAUUUUCAGUUGAUAGACCGAUUAUUGACUGGCCUAUCCGAGGCCGUGGUGGUCUUGGAAGAGGUCGAGGAGGCCGUGGACGUGGAAUGGGCCGAGGAGAUGGAUUUGAUUCUCGUGGCAAACGUGAAUUUGAUAGGCAUAGUGGAAGUGAUAGAUCUUCUUUUUCACAUUACAGUGGCCUGAAGCAUGAGGACAAACGUGGAGGUAGCGGAUCUCACAACUGGGGAACUGUCAAAGAUGAAUUAACAGAGUCCCCAAAAUACAUUCAGAAACAAAUAUCUUAUAAUUGCAGUGACUUGGAUCAAUCAAAUGUGACUGAGGAAACACCUGAAGGUGAAGAACAUCCAGUUGCAGACACUGAAAAUAAGGAGAACGAAGUUGAAGAAGUAAAGGAAGAGGGUCCAAAAGAAAUGACUUUGGAUGAGUGGAAAGCUAUUCAAAAUAAGGACCGGGCAAAAGUAGAAUAUCCGAAAACCAAAUGAAGGUGCUGAUGGGCAGUGGAAGAAGGGAUUUGUUCUUCAUAAGUCAAAGAGUGAAGAGGCUCAUGCUGAAGAUUCGGUUAUGGACCAUCAUUCCCGGAAGCCAGCAAAUGAUUUAACGUCUCAGCUGGAGAUCAAUUUUGGAGACCUUGGCCGCCCAGGACGUGGUGGCAGGGGAGGACGAGGUGGCCGUGGGCGUGGUGGACGUCCAAACCGUGGCAGCAGAACUGACAAGUCAAGUGCUUCUGCUCCUGAUGUAGAUGACCCUGAGGCAUUCCCAGCUCUGGCUUAACUGGAUGCCCCAAGACAACCCUGGUUCCUUUGUGGACCCUCCCAUCUGAGGUUUUGCAUGCUUAAGGAUCCCAAACGACUUAAGAAUUUAAAA